Molecule: ribosomal RNA, 91 nt
Filed under: Anaerolineae bacterium
Lineage: Bacteria; Bacillati; Chloroflexota; Anaerolineae
Source: RNAcentral
ACCUGGUCCCAUACCGAACCCAGAAGUUAAGCCCGCCAGCGCCGAUGGUACUCGGCUGGAGACGGCCCGGGAGAGUAGGCCAUUGCCAAGG